Molecule: ribosomal RNA, 473 nt
Filed under: uncultured Syntrophaceae bacterium
Lineage: Bacteria; Pseudomonadati; Thermodesulfobacteriota; Syntrophia; Syntrophales; Syntrophaceae
Description: bacterial SSU rRNA
Rfam family: Bacterial small subunit ribosomal RNA
Source: RNAcentral
GGAAUUGACGGGGCCGCACAAGCGGUGGAGCAUGUGGUUAAUUCGACGCAACGCGAAGAACCUUACCAGGGCUUGACAUCCCCUGACCGCGUAUGAAAGUACGUUUUCACCCUCGGGUGACAGGGAGACAGGUGGUGCAUGGUUGUCGUCAGCUCGUGUCGUGAGAUGUUGGGUUAAGUCCCGCAACGAGCGCAACCCUUGCCUUUAGUUGCCAUCAUUCAGUUGGGCACUCUAGAGGGACUGCCGGUGUCAAACCGGAGGAAGGUGGGAUGACGUCAAGUCCUCAUGGCCUUUAUGCCCAGGGCUACACACGUGCUACAAUGGGCGGUACAAAGAGCAGCGAGCUCGCGAGAGUAAGCAAAUCUCAAAAAGCCGUCCUCAGUUCGGAUUGGAGUCUGCAACUCGACUCCAUGAAGUUGGAAUCGCUAGUAAUCGCAGAUCAGCACGCUGCGGUGAAUACGUUCCCGGGCCUU